CCUCAGGCCCAAGGGAAGAUGAUUCAGCUUUGACAGCCGCCUUCUUUAUAGUCGAUCGGAGUCUAGGGUUUUUUUUUUCUUUCCUUAAUUUCCAAUCCAUGUCCUUUAUUUUGGCUCAUCCUUAUCUUUCCAAAAUGAUUUUCUCAUGAUUUUCGAGCCUUGGAUUAUGGCAGAAAGGAUAUCUUCUCAUAUUUUAAAAAGCCUGCAUUUUUCUUUAAGUGUACUGCAAGUUGAUGUGCAAGCCUAGGGAAAAGUUUGUUUCCAUUGCACACGAACCUUUUUAAUUUAACGGUCACCUUGGCCUUGGCCAAGGCUUAGUGGAUCAUAACUUGUGUCCCAUCCUACUGCCUUGCCCAAGAAACCGUGCUUAAGGAUUGGUUUUGUUUUCCAUUUAUGCUUAAAUGUAUCCCUUGGGCAAGGGUGUGUACAGGGGCCAAUACAUGCUGUAGCUGUUGUGUCUUAGCCUUGCCCAAGGCUAAGACCAUGACAUAUGGUAGUUUUACAAUUCUCGCCCUUGCUUCCUAUUGUACUUCCUGGCUUUAAGUUCUAACUCCUGUCCUGCAUCAAAAUGGAUAAAAUAACUUGAUCAAGCAACAAAUAAUUCAUUUUAAACACAUAAAAGUAGGUGACAAGGGUGUUGUUUUUAUACCAUAUCAAACUCCCCCACAUUUAUCUUGUGCUUGCCCUCAAGCACCAGACAAUACACACCACCAAUUCUUAUCUCCUCACC
RNAcentral lists this long non-coding RNA (730 nucleotides) under Carica papaya (papaya). Its description in RNAcentral is "long non-coding RNA (CPAP_LNC002152)". The record is from RNAcentral. Lineage: Eukaryota; Viridiplantae; Streptophyta; Magnoliopsida; Brassicales; Caricaceae.